This 153-nucleotide unclassified non-coding RNA is filed under the name soil metagenome. RNAcentral's name for it is "partial internal transcribed spacer 1". The record is from RNAcentral.
GUGAUUAAAUCGAGCGUAUCUUCAUUGACCGCUCACCCUUCUCACCAUCCACAUACACCUGUGCACUGUUUAGCCUGAGCCGGUUUUCCGGUCCAGGUUAUCAUUUCAUACAAACUCUAGUCUUAUGAAUGUAAACGUUUUAAUAACAUAAUA